Molecule: ribosomal RNA, 668 nt
Filed under: Bifidobacterium breve
Lineage: Bacteria; Bacillati; Actinomycetota; Actinomycetes; Bifidobacteriales; Bifidobacteriaceae
Description: bacterial SSU rRNA
Rfam family: Bacterial small subunit ribosomal RNA
Source: RNAcentral
GCAGUCGAACGGGAUCCAUCGGGCUUUGCUUGGUGGUGAGAGUGGCGAACGGGUGAGUAAUGCGUGACCGACCUGCCCCAUGCACCGGAAUAGCUCCUGGAAACGGGUGGUAAUGCCGGAUGCUCCAUCACACCGCAUGGUGUGUUGGGAAAGCCUUUGCGGCAUGGGAUGGGGUCGCGUCCUAUCAGCUUGAUGGCGGGGUAACGGCCCACCAUGGCUUCGACGGGUAGCCGGCCUGAGAGGGCGACCGGCCACAUUGGGACUGAGAUACGGCCCAGACUCCUACGGGAGGCAGCAGUGGGGAAUAUUGCACAAUGGGCGCAAGCCUGAUGCAGCGACGCCGCGUGAGGGAUGGAGGCCUUCGGGUUGUAAACCUCUUUUGUUAGGGAGCAAGGCAUUUUUUGUUGAGUGUACCUUUCGAAUAAGCACCGGCUAACUACGUGCCAGCAGCCGCGGUAAUACGUAGGGUGCAAGCGUUAUCCGGAAUUAUUGGGCGUAAAGGGCUCGUAGGCGGUUCGUCGCGUCCGGUGUGAAAGUCCAUCGCUUAACGGUGGAUCCGCGCCGGGUACGGGCGGGCUUGAGUGCGGUAGGGGAGACUGGAAUUCCCGGUGUAACGGUGGAAUGUGUAGAUAUCGGGAAGAACACCAAUGGCGAAGGCAGGUCUCUGG